CGCCGCCCCGGGAUUCCAGCUCAGGCCCUGAGAAAGACAAGAAAAGCAGUUCUCCAACCUCCCUCGCCACCCGAGCCUUCCCCCGCCGACCUGUCAUUGCUCUUGAAUGGUUCCCCGCUGGAGCACACCUCCCCCGUGUAAUACCAUGAUGUGACGGCUUUCUUGAUUUGUACUUCCAGAAUGCAACUUUAGAAAGUUGAAGAAAUGGAGACAGAAUAGAUAGAAUGGU
RNAcentral lists this long non-coding RNA (229 nucleotides) under Ursus maritimus (polar bear). RNAcentral's name for it is "lncRNA (ENSUMAG00000005179.1)". Lineage: Eukaryota; Metazoa; Chordata; Mammalia; Carnivora; Ursidae. The record is from RNAcentral.